RNAcentral lists this ribosomal RNA (666 nucleotides) under alpha proteobacterium IMCC14995. RNAcentral describes it as "bacterial SSU rRNA". It matches the Rfam family "Bacterial small subunit ribosomal RNA", at positions 29 to 743 of the family's 1533-position model. The record is from RNAcentral. Lineage: Bacteria; Pseudomonadati; Pseudomonadota; Alphaproteobacteria.
ACGAACGCUGGCGGCAGGCUUAACACAUGCAAGUCGAGCGCCCCGCAAGGGGAGCGGCAGACGGGUGAGUAACGCGUGGGAAUCUACCCAUCUCUACGGAAUAACGCAUGGAAACGUGUGCUAAUCCGGUAUACGUCCUUCGGGAGAAAGAUUUAUCGGCGAUGGAUGAGCCCGCGUUGGAUUAGCUAGUUGGUGGGGUAAAGGCCUACCAAGGCGACGAUCCAUAGCUGGUUUGAGAGGAUGAUCAGCCACACUGGGACUGAGACACGGCCCAGACUCCUACGGGAGGCAGCAGUGGGGAAUAUUGGACAAUGGGCGCAAGCCUGAUCCAGCCAUGCCGCGUGAGUGAUGAAGGCCCUAGGGUUGUAAAGCUCUUUCACCGGUGAAGAUAAUGACGGUAACCGGAGAAGAAGCCCCGGCUAACUUCGUGCCAGCAGCCGCGGUAAUACGAAGGGGGCUAGCGUUGUUCGGAUUUACUGGGCGUAAAGCGCACGUAGGCGGACUAUUAAGUCAGGGGUGAAAUCCCGGGGCUCAACCCCGGAACUGCCUUUGAUACUGGUAGUCUUGAGUUCGAGAGAGGUGAGCGGAAUUCCGAGUGUAGAGGUGAAAUUCGUAGAUAUUCGGAGGAACACCAGUGGCGAAGGCGGCUCACUGGCUCGAUACUGA